Molecule: ribosomal RNA, 497 nt
Filed under: uncultured bacterium
Lineage: Bacteria
Description: partial 16S ribosomal RNA
Rfam family: Bacterial small subunit ribosomal RNA
Source: RNAcentral
GAUGAACGCUGGCGGCGUGCCUAAUACAUGCAAGUCGAGCGAACGGACGAGAAGCUUGCUUCUCUGAUGUUAGCGGCGGACGGGUGAGUAACACGUGGAUAACCUACCUAUAAGACUGGGAUAACUUCGGGAAACCGGAGCUAAUACCGGAUGAUAUUUUGAACCGCAUGGUUCAAAAGUGAAAGACGGUCUUGCUGUCACUUAUAGAUGGAUCCGCGCUGCAUUAGCUAGUUGGUAAGGUAACGGCUUACCAAGGCAACGAUGCGUAGCCGACCUGAGAGGGUGAUCGGCCACACUGGAACUGAGACACGGUCCAGACUCCUACGGGAGGCAGCAGUAGGGAAUCUUCCGCAAUGGGCGAAAGCCUGACGGAGCAACGCCGCGUGAGUGAUGAAGGUCUUCGGAUCGUAAAACUCUGUUAUUAGGUAAGAACAUAUGUGUAAGUAACUGUGCACAUCUUGACGGUACCUAAUCAGAAAGCCACGGCUAACUACGUG